GACGAACGCUGGCGGCGUGCUUAACACAUGCAAGUCGAACGGAAAGGCCCUGCUUUUGUGGGGUGCUCGAGUGGCGAACGGGUGAGUAACACGUGAGUAACCUGCCCUUGACUUUGGGAUAACUUCAGGAAACUGGGGCUAAUACCGGAUAGGAGCUCCUGCUGCAUGGUGGGGGUUGGAAAGUUUCGGCGGUUGGGGGUGGACUCGCGGCUUAUCAGCUUGUUGGUGGGGUAGUGGCUUACCAAGGCUUUGACGGGUAGCCGGCCUGAGAGGGUGACCGGCCACAUUGGGACUGGGCUACGGCCCAGACUCCUACGGGAGGCAGCAGUGGGGAAUAUUGCACAAUGGGCGGAAGCCUGAUGCAGCAACGCCGCGUGGGGGAUGACGGCCUUCGGGUUGUAAACCGCUUUCGCCUGUGACGAAGCGUGAGUGACGGUAAUGGGUAAAGAAGCACCGGCUAACUACGUG
This 468-nucleotide ribosomal RNA is filed under the name uncultured bacterium. RNAcentral's name for it is "partial 16S ribosomal RNA". It matches the Rfam family "Bacterial small subunit ribosomal RNA", at positions 28 to 507 of the family's 1533-position model. The record is from RNAcentral.